This 253-nucleotide ribosomal RNA is filed under the name uncultured bacterium. Its description in RNAcentral is "partial 16S ribosomal RNA". It matches the Rfam family "Bacterial small subunit ribosomal RNA", at positions 524 to 776 of the family's 1533-position model. The record is from RNAcentral.
UACGGGGGGGGCAAGCGUUGUUCGGAAUUACUGGGCGUAAAGGGCUCGUAGGCGGCCAACUAAGUCAGACGUGAAAUCCCCAGGCUUAACCUGGGAACUGCGUCUGAUACUGGAUGGCUUGAAUUCAGGAGAGGGAUGCAGAAUUCCAGGUGUAGCGGUGAAAUGCGUAGAUAUCUGGAGGAAUACCGGUGGCGAAGGCGGCAUCCUGGACCGACAUUGACGCUGAUGAGCGAAAGCUAGGGGAGCAAACGGG